This 676-nucleotide ribosomal RNA is filed under the name Eumesosoma ocalense. Its description in RNAcentral is "partial 16S ribosomal RNA". Lineage: Eukaryota; Metazoa; Arthropoda; Arachnida; Opiliones; Sclerosomatidae. The record is from RNAcentral.
GGUUUUAUUAUGGGCUUAAUUAAUAAUUUUUGUAUUAGGAAAAGACUCUUAAAUCUCUUUUUGUUUAUUACUUUCUUUUGAACAACUUAAUAGCUUAGAGCUGUGAAGGUGUGUAAUUUACCAGUGUUAAGUAAUCUCUUUUGUACCUUUUGUAUCAGGGUCUGCUAAAAUUGGUUAUUUAUUUCUUUUUCCCGAAGAGAAGAGAGUUACUAGUUUUAUUUGCCUUUUGUAGCAAAAAGAGGCUUAAUGACCUGGUAGUAGCGAGAUGUUAUUCGUUCUUCUGGUUAUCUGGUUCUCAUAGAAAUUUAGGUGGACGUUAGUAGUAAUAGUAGCAGAAAAUUUAUUAGGGAUAAGCUUAAUAUCUUACAUUUAUAUAGAUGUUUAAAUAGCGUUAUGAGAGGAUUAAUAGUGUCUUUAUGUUUUAUAACUAACUUAUACUAAUUUAUAUUAAUUGGGUAUAUGAGGGUCUAUUGAAAUUUUUUUUGUUAGUAAUUAUGGUAGAAUUAGUAGAUUUAGAUUUUAGUAUGUAAAUUUAGGUGUAUCAGUUAAGGUAUCUAGUUGUAUAAAUUUUGGUAAGGAACUAGGCAAACAUUUUUCUUAACUGUUUAUCAAAGACAUUUCUCUAAGAAAGGAUUUAGAGUAUGCUCUGCCCCCUGAUUAUAUUAAAGGGCCGCAG